UACGUAGGGAGCAAGCGUUGUUCGGAUUUACUGGGCGUAAAGGGCGCGUAGGCGGCUUAACAAGUCACUUGUGAAAUCUCCGGGCUUAACUCGGAACAGCCAAGUGAAACUGUCAAGCUAGAGUGCAGAAGGGGCAAUCGGAAUUCUUGGUGUAGCGGUGAAAUGCGUAGAUAUCAGGAGGAACACCAGCGGUGUAGACGGCUUUCUGGACCGUAGCUGACGCUGAGACACGAAAGCGUGGGUAGCAAACAGG
This 253-nucleotide ribosomal RNA is filed under the name uncultured bacterium. RNAcentral describes it as "partial 16S ribosomal RNA". It matches the Rfam family "Bacterial small subunit ribosomal RNA", at positions 524 to 776 of the family's 1533-position model. The record is from RNAcentral.